RNA transcript from Musa acuminata AAA Group (dessert banana), 1280 nucleotides. It is a transcript of the gene named UDP-glucuronic acid decarboxylase 4-like, with no coding region annotated. NCBI's taxonomy places the organism in Eukaryota, Viridiplantae, Streptophyta, Magnoliopsida, Zingiberales, Musaceae. The record is from RefSeq and is a predicted model, not a curated record. The transcript is spliced from 5 exons.
CCCUCUGCUAAAACCAUAUAUUUUGUAAUUUUUGAUUUGUCAUUGACUAAAGUUUGUUUCCUUCAGCUCCAUUUGUUGCUGCUGUGGUGGGCAUUUGAUUCCUUGAAGCAAACAAGAUUGAUUCUUGUUGGGCUAAUUAGCUUGGUCUAUACAUUUUUCACAUCCAUUAGAACUCUGUUUGAUCAGUGGUUAGAGAUUAUGAAGCAAAUAGAAUAAAGGGGUAGAAGAAGGCGCAAGAUUUUGCUUGUUGAAUGCCUUAAUUCAUUCAGUCUUUGUUCCUUGAGUUCACAAGACCAAUGUUGUGGGAACUCUCAACAUGCUGGGCCUGGCCAAGAGAGUAGGAGCCAGAUUUCUCCUCACAAGCACCAGUGAGGUUUAUGGUGAUCCCUUGCAACACCCACAAGUAGAGACCUACUGGGGCAAAUGUUAAUCCCAUCGGUGUUAGGAGCUGCUACGACGAAGGCAAGCGAACUGCAGAGACUUUGACCAUGGAUUACCAUCGUGGUGCCCAACUUGAGGUGAGAAUUGCUCGUAUCUUCAACACUUAUGGACCUCGGAUGUGCAUUGAUGAUGGUCGCGUUGUGAGCAAUUUUGUUGCCCAGGCCUUGAGGAAGGAGCCAUUGACAGUUUAUGGGGAUGGAAAGCAAACCAGGAGCUUUCAGUAUGUCUCUGAUCUGGUGGAGGGGCUGAUUAAGUUGAUGGAGGGCGAGAAUGUCGUCCAUUCAACCUGGGGAACCCUGGAGAAUUCACCAUGCUGGAGCUUGCAAAGGUAGUGCAGGAUACAAUUGACCUUAAUGCCAAGAUAGAAUUCCGACCAAACACAGCAGACGAUCCCCACAAGCGCAAACCUGACAUCACACGAGCCAAAGAGCUACUUGGCUGGGAACCAAAGGUCUCCCUCCGUGAUGGCCUCCCUCUCAUGGUCACUGAUUUCCGCAAGCGUAUCUUUGGUGACCAAGCUGACAACAAUCCAACCACCACCGCUCACAGCAGAUCCAUCUAAAGGGUCGCUCACAAUAUGCAAAGAUGGAUCAUAAGACUUACAUUUUUUAGUCAAAAGAAGUGAAAGAUCAACUUUUGUUUUCAUUGUUGUCCUUCAAUUCUUCAAUGUACUAUUAUCACCGAGGGCUGAGAAGAGUUAGCUGUGCAUUGCACCACUUCCUGUCCCUUAGUCAUGUGUUUCUCGUCAUUAUUGUUUGUUUUUCUUUUUCUUUACAGAUUGAACCUGGUUUUCAUUUUUGUGCUUAUGUGAAUCGAAUACAGGUGUUCAAAUGUCAUCA